Molecule: ribosomal RNA, 207 nt
Filed under: uncultured bacterium
Lineage: Bacteria
Description: partial 16S ribosomal RNA
Rfam family: Bacterial small subunit ribosomal RNA
Source: RNAcentral
UGUGUAGGCGGUUCUUUAAGUUUGCUGUGAAAUCUCCCGGCUUAACCGGGAGGGUGCGGUGAAUACUGAGGGACUAGAGUACGGGAGAGGAAAGUGGAAUUCCUGGUGUAGCGGUGAAAUGCGUAGAUAUCAGGAGGAACACCGGUGGUGUAGACGGCUUUCUGGACCGACACUGACGCUGAGACACGAAAGCGUGGGUAGCAAACA